AACGAACGCUGGCGGCAGGCCUAACUCAUGCAAGUCGAGCGAGGACUUCGGUUCUAGCGGCGGACGGGUGAGUAACGCGUGGGAAUGUGCCCUUCUCUACGGAAUAGCCCUGGGAAACUGGGAGUAAUACCGUAUACGCCCUAUUGGGGAAAGAUUUAUCGGAGAAGGAUCAGCCCGCGUUGGAUUAGGUAGUUGGUGGGGUAAUGGCCUACCAAGCCGACGAUCCAUAGCUGGUUUGAGAGGAUGAUCAGCCACACUGGGACUGAGACACGGCCCAGACUCCUACGGGAGGCAGCAGUGGGGAAUCUUAGACAAUGGGGGCAACCCUGAUCUAGCCAUGCCGCGUGAGUGAUGAAGGCCUUAGGGUUGUAAAGCUCUUUCAGCUGGGAAGAUAAUGACGGUACCAGCAGAAGAAGCCCCGGCUAACUCCGUG
Molecule: ribosomal RNA, 433 nt
Filed under: uncultured bacterium
Lineage: Bacteria
Description: partial 16S ribosomal RNA
Rfam family: Bacterial small subunit ribosomal RNA
Source: RNAcentral